Molecule: ribosomal RNA, 253 nt
Filed under: uncultured bacterium
Lineage: Bacteria
Description: partial 16S ribosomal RNA
Rfam family: Bacterial small subunit ribosomal RNA
Source: RNAcentral
UACGUAGGGGGCAAGCGUUAUCCGGAUUUACUGGGCGUUAAAGAGCGCGUAGGCGGUUCCGUAAGUUGGUUGUGAAAGUUCGAGGCUCAACCUCGAAACUGCGUCCAAUACUGCGGGCUGGAGUGCAAGAGAGGCAAGUGGAAUUUGCGGUGUAGUAGUGAAAUGCGUAGAUAUCGCAAGGAACACCAGUGGCGAAGGCGGCUUGCUAGCUUGUAACUGACGCUGAGGCGCGAAAGCUAGGGGAGCGAACGGG